Molecule: ribosomal RNA, 1539 nt
Filed under: Parasphaerochaeta coccoides DSM 17374
Lineage: Bacteria; Pseudomonadati; Spirochaetota; Spirochaetia; Spirochaetales; Sphaerochaetaceae
Description: Sphaerochaeta coccoides DSM 17374 16S ribosomal RNA
Rfam family: Bacterial small subunit ribosomal RNA
Source: RNAcentral
CCAUGACGGAGAGUUUGAUCCUGGCUCAGAACGAACGCUGGCGGCGCGUUUUAAGCAUGCAAGUCGAGCGGGAAGGGGCUUCGGCCCUGGAGAGCGGCGGACGGGUGAGUAACACGUGGAUGAUCUGCCUCCCAGUUGGGGACAGCACCUGGAAACAGGUGAUAAUACCGGAUACGACCGCAGGGGUAGAGCCCUGUGGGGAAAGGGGCCACGGCCCCGCUGGGAGAUGAGUCCGCGGCCCAUUAGCUAGAUGGGGGGGUAACGGCCCACCAUGGCGACGAUGGGUAGCCGGCCUGAGAGGGUGGACGGCCACAUUGGAACUGAGACACGGUCCAGACUCCUACGGGAGGCAGCAGCUAAGAAUCUUCCGCAAUGGGGGGAACCCUGACGGAGCGACGCCGCGUGAACGAAGAAGGCCGUGAGGUUGUAAAGUUCUUUUCGGGAGGGGGAAUAAGCCUGCCAGGGAAUGGGCGGGUGAUGACGUGAAUCCCGGAAUAAGCCCCGGCUAACUACGUGCCAGCAGCCGCGGUAACACGUAGGGGGCGAGCGUUGUUCGGAAUUAUUGGGCGUAAAGGGCGCGCAGGCGGUCAUGCAAGUCCGAUGUGAAAGACCCCGGCUCAACCGGGGGUAUGCGUGGGAAACUGCAUGGCUUGAGUACAGCAGGGGGCAGUGGAAUUCCAGGUGUAGGGGUGAAAUCUGUAGAUAUCUGGAAGAACACCGGAGGCGAAGGCGACUGCCUGGGCAUGUACUGACGCUGAGGCGCGAAGGUGCGGGGAGCGAACAGGUUUAGAUACCCUGGUAGUCCGCACAGUAAACGAUGCACACCAGGUGUCGGGGGGUAGCCCCCGGUACCGGAGCUAACGCACUGAGUGUGCCGCCUGGGGAGUAUGCCCGCAAGGGUGAAACUCAAAGGAAUUGACGGGGGCCCGCACAAGCGGUGGAGCAUGUGGUUUAAUUCGAUGAUACGCGAGGAACCUUACCAGGGCUUGACAUCCGGGGGAACCAUGGGGAGACCCAUGGGCCGCUUGCGGCCGCCGGACAGGUGCUGCAUGGCUGUCGUCAGCUCGUGCUGUGAAGUGUUGGGUUAAGUCCCGCAACGAGCGCAACCCCUGCCGUCUGUUACCAGCAUGUGAAGAUGGGGACUCGGACGGAACUGCCGGUGACAAACCGGAGGAAGGUGGGGACGACGUCAAGUCAUCAUGGCCCUUAUGCCCUGGGCCACACACGUGCUACAAUGGCCGGUACAGAGCGAAGCGGACCCGCGAGGGAGAGCGAACCGCGAAAGCCGGUCUCAGUACGGAUUGGACUCUGCAACCCGAGUCCAUGAAGUUGGAAUCGCUAGUAAUCGCGCAUCAGCAUGGCGCGGUGAAUACGUUCCCGGGCCUUGUACACACCGCCCGUCACACCAUCCGAGUCGGGGGUACCCGAAGUCGCUGUCCCAACCGCGAGGGGGGAGGUGCCGAAGGUAUGCCUGGUGAGGAGGGUGAAGUCGUAACAAGGUAGCCGUACCGGAAGGUGCGGCUGGAUCACCUCCUUUCU